This 563-nucleotide ribosomal RNA is filed under the name uncultured bacterium. RNAcentral's name for it is "bacterial SSU rRNA". It matches the Rfam family "Bacterial small subunit ribosomal RNA", at positions 338 to 916 of the family's 1533-position model. The record is from RNAcentral.
CCUACGGGAGGCAGCAGUGGGGAAUCUUGCGCAAUGGGCGAAAGCCUGACGCAGCAACGCCGCGUGCGGGAAGAAGGCUUUCGGGCUGUAAACCGCUUUCAGCAGGAACGAAAAUGACGGUACCUGCAGAAGAAGGAGCGGCCAACUAUGUGCCAGCAGCCGCGGUGAUACAUAGGCUUCAAGCGUUGUCCGGAUUUAUUGGGCGUAAAGAGUUCGUAGGCGGUCAAGUAAGUCGGGUGUGAAAAUUCUGGGCUCAACCCAGAGACGCCACCCGAUACUGCUUAACUUGAGUUCGAUAGGGGAGUGGGGAAUUCCUAGUGUAGCGGUGAAAUGCGCAGAUAUUAGGAGGAACACCGGUGGCGAAGGCGCCACUCUGGAUCGAUACUGACGCUGAGGAACGAAAGCAUGGGUAGCAAACAGGAUUAGAUACCCUGGUAGUCCAUGCCGUAAACGGUGGGCACUGGGUGUGGGUUUCUAUUAACGAAAUCCGCGCCGUCGCUAACGCAUUAAGUGCCCCGCCUGGGGAGUACGGUCGCAAGACUAAAACUUAAAGGAAUUGACGG